This 495-nucleotide ribosomal RNA is filed under the name uncultured bacterium. Its description in RNAcentral is "partial 16S ribosomal RNA". It matches the Rfam family "Bacterial small subunit ribosomal RNA", at positions 28 to 507 of the family's 1533-position model. The record is from RNAcentral.
GACGAACGCUGGCGGCGUGCCUAAUACAUGCAAGUAGAACGCUGAAGGAGGAGCUUGCUUCUCUGGAUGAGUUGCGAACGGGUGAGUAACGCGUAGGUAACCUGCCUGGUAGCGGGGGAUAACUAUUGGAAACGAUAGCUAAUACCGCAUAAUAGUAGAUGUUGCAUGACAUUUGCUUGAAAGGUGCAAUUGCAUCACUACCAGAUGGACCUGCGUUGUAUUAGCUAGUUGGUGGGGUAACGGCUCACCAAGGCGACGAUACAUAGCCGACCUGAGAGGGGGAUCUGCCACACUGGGACUGAGACACGGCCCAGACGCCUACGGGAGGCAGCAGUAGGGAAUCCUCGGCAAUGGACGGAAGUCUGACCGAGCAACGCCGCGUGAGUGAAGAAGGUUUUCGGAUCGUAAAGCUCUGUUGUAAGGGAAGAACGAGUGUGAGAGUGGAAAGGUCACACUGUGACGGUAACUUACCAGAAAGGGACGGCUAACUACGUG